CAGCUGAAGGGGCAUGUCAAACCCACUUUGCAUACAGGACGAUAAUAUUGCACACACCUAGGAGCAAAGGCGUGGACGUGUACACAGAAGAUAACUAAGACAAGGAUGAAGUCCAAACUCCUUAGCCUGCCGUGAUGUCUGCCAUGAAUGGGCUCCUGCCUACAUCUCCAGCUUCAUCUGCUACCUCUCCCUUCAUGAUGGUCUUUUCUUAGUUGGUCAAGAGAGAUGAUCAUAAUUCCUCUUGCAAGAAAAAAGCAAAAUCAAAUAGAAAGAAAAAUGCAGAUAAGAAAGUCUACAAUUAGAAAUUAAUGAAGACCUUUUGGGAAAAGAAGAAAAAGUAAUUGGCAGAAAACCAUCAGCCAAGGCUUGAAAUAUGGAAAGUUAAGAAACCAUAUACACCCAAAGGUGAAAGAAGAUUGGUAUCAUUUAUGGAGCUGCUUAUAAUGACUUGUGAAAUGUGCCAGUGGAUUAGAAACUUUCUAGGCUGAGUGGGGAAUGCAAAAGUCGCUCUAUUAAUACUGAUCUCGUCCAGUAGGCGUGACAUCAAUGCUUGGUAAAAUGGAGAGAUGAUAAUGUACAUGUUCUAAUAGGUCUAAAUACUUUAUAAGUCACUGUCAGGGAAACUACUCACUAGAAGUAAAUUUGGCAGUUGUUGAGGACUGUAUUGAGUAGUCUUUAGGGAC
This is a long non-coding RNA of Bubalus bubalis (water buffalo), 683 nucleotides long. RefSeq lists it as uncharacterized. The transcript has 3 exons. NCBI's taxonomy places the organism in Eukaryota, Metazoa, Chordata, Mammalia, Artiodactyla, Bovidae. The record is from RefSeq and is a predicted model, not a curated record.